This 86-nucleotide transfer RNA is filed under the name Candidatus Acetothermia bacterium. Its description in RNAcentral is "tRNA-Tyr". It matches the Rfam family "tRNA". From Rfam's summary of the family: Transfer RNA (tRNA) molecules are approximately 80 nucleotides in length. Lineage: Bacteria; Candidatus Bipolaricaulota. The record is from RNAcentral. RNAcentral also lists the same sequence under 1 other name.
GGAGGGGUACCGAAGUGGCCAAACGGAGCGGACUGUAAAUCCGUUGGCAGGUGCCUUCGGGGGUUCGAAUCCCUCCCCCUCCACCA